Molecule: RNA transcript, 4429 nt
Organism: Alosa alosa (allis shad)
Lineage: Eukaryota; Metazoa; Chordata; Actinopteri; Clupeiformes; Clupeidae
Gene: scn2b
Gene name: sodium channel, voltage-gated, type II, beta
Exons: 6
Source: RefSeq, a predicted model, not a curated record
GAGUUCCCAUAGCCAUAAAAUCAACUCUUUCUACGGCUAGACACUGCCUGCUAUAUCACAGCAUUGAAAAUAACACAUAUUUUAAGAUUUUUAUAAGAAUACGAUCAGGAAAAGCCGACUGUUUCUACAUAGCAUCCAUUUCGCACACGGUGCCACCAUUCUCGUCGGAAAAUGCCUUGUAACUCGCAAUCGCGAAACAAAUGCUGGACAUCAGCUGUCAACUUAGGCUAUGUAGGACUGGUGCUUGUCUUGGCUGGAGGGGCCUCUGCUAUGGAUGUGCUGGUAGCCAAUCAGAUCACAGCGCUCAACGGAACCAAGGUCAAAAUCUCCUGCACGUUCACAUCCUGUUACAAGGUGGAAAACAGCAAGUUUGCCAUGAACUGGAGCUACCAAGAGACAGCCAAUGACACCAGGGAUAUUUUCAUGAUCUUUCAUAAGAACAAGAUGCAGCCGACCGGCAUGCGGUUUGGGGACCGGGUGGCGUUCGUGGGGAACGUGGAGAAGAACGAUCUGUCGGUCACCCUGGAGGACGUGCAGAUCUCCGACGAGGGCUUGUACCACUGCUGGGUGCACAACCCACCGGACCGCGUGCUGGGCCUCGGGACCAUCGAGCUCGUUGUGGUGACAGAACUGCCGCCCCCUCGGGACACGACCAUCGCCGUGGUGAUCGGCGCGUCGGUGGGGGGCAUCCUGGCCCUGCUCAUCCUCUCCAUGGUGGUGGUGAAGUGCGUGCGUCGCCACCGGAAACAGGAGCUCAUCUCCGACGAGCAGAAGAUGGAGGAGGAGGGCAAGCUGGACCCGGAGGGGGGCACGGAGGAGGGCACCAAACAACUGUAACCAGGCUGCUGGUUCCAGAGGGCCUUGGGUUGGUGGAGCCUGCCCCGCCUCUAAUGUGCUGAAAUAUAUAUUCCCUGCCUGAAGAUGUAUAUUGAACCUUGCUUGAGUCAACGUCCUGCAACUGCCUCACCUUUAGCCCCGAUCCUCUUCUUGUUCCUUCGCACAAGAUCUCAGACUACGGGCAAAGGCCCACAUCCAAGCAACAAACUGCUUCAAGUCUACUGUACCGAACAGGCCGAUCUGAGUCUGGCUAUCCACAUGUCCUGGUUCCUUGGUCUUUCUUAGUGUAGAUGUCCCAGAAACUAAGCAUCUAGAUUACAGGUUAAGAACAAGUUAGGCUAGCCGUCUGAACACUGCCACUUUUGCUCUCUCUCUCUCUCUCUCUCUCUCUCUCUCUCUCUCUCAUGGACUAAAACAGUAGAAUGGGAAUCCAUGAGAAUAUUUCCACACAAGCGAUUUUGGUUUACUGGAGUCGUUAUUUAGCGUAUCUUCCAGAGUGUGUUGUGAUUUCAAUUUGUUUUUGUCUUCCACAAGCUGCCAAACUAUUUUAUAAAAAGGUAACAACUGUAUAAUAGAGUAAAAAAAAAAAUCUUUCUAAACAAGCACAUGUCACCGUGUCCCACUGUUGAGUAGUUUACCUGGCUAUCUAAAUGAAGAAUGAAGAUGUUUUUGUUUUCCCUUAACUAUGGAUAGGUUUCCUGUAUCUUUCCCCAAGCCUCAUGUUUAUCUCUAGGGACCAAUGUGGGACAGGCAUAUCCAUAUCUUCUUUAUAUGAUAGCUAGUUAGAGUGUCUGUGUGCCAAGUGUAUGAAGGGACAGUUUCAUAUGUGUGCUGGGUGGUGUACAUUCUUUUGUAUCUGUUUGCAUCUUGAGAACCCCUUAGAUAGCAUUUAACCCAGCGGUCCCGCUAGGGUACGUGCAUCUACUCCCAGAUCUUAGUAUGGGAGACAGAUACAGAAUGCAUCUGUGUGUGUGUGUGUGUGUGUGUGUGUGUGUGUGUGUGUGUGUGAGAGAGAGAGAAUGUGUUUGUGUAUGUUGGAGUUUGUGUUAUAUGGAUAAUUCCUCUUGGCGAAGAUCUGAACACUAAGGUAGUUAUUUUCCUUGUUUGUUGCACUGCUUGCUACUGUGUUGUUGAGUCAUGCCUUCGUCACCUGGGUGCAGUUUGUUGUGCAGUUAUUUGGCAUCGCACCUUAGCAUGUUUUCAUUUGCGCACACAAUGACAGAUCCCACUUAGUCUACGGAAAGCACUGUCAUCCCCCAAUACUGUACAAGUAUCAAUUAAAUAUGUUCCACUGCACCUAUACAUGCAUGAAGAGGUCUACUGACAGCAUAUCACAGACACACACAAAGGGAACAUUCAUGCAUACACCCUUAUUAGACACAGAGACCUCAUUACUCCACACAAACACAUACACACACACACACACACACACACACACACACAAACACACACACACACACACACACACACACACACACACACACACACAACAAAUGUCUGUAUACACACACACACACACACACACACACACACACACACACACACACACACACACACACACAUAAAGAUCAAGUAAUUCAUUUUUACAUGCUAGGAUGCAUAUCAUGCCUAGUUCACAAAUACAGUGUACCUUCAGGGAACAUAAACUUGAUACAUAAAAUUAAAUUUGUAAGGACAAAAACGAUAGACUUUAUAAGCCAAACACUGUACAGCAGGGGGGUUAAUACAAUUGCUAUUUUGGGAUCAUUUCUGGUGUCUUAUGUAUUUUGAAUGUAUUGUUUGAGACCUCAGUUUGUACAAUGAUUAAUUGUUAACAUUUUAGUUGUAUAACACUAUAUUCUAUUACGCAUAUGGUACAGAUAAAUAUAUGAAGAGUUAUGGUAUACACCUAUAUAGAGUUCUUUAAGCCAUCUAUCAAAGUUUAGAAUUGUGAAGGCUUAUAUUUUACUUAUCUCAACUGAUACUUUAUUAACCAGUGUAGCGCUGGGGAUAGCCACUGCCAGAGUAUUUUAUCAAAUAGAGUUUAAUAAAUUAGUUAAAAGACCACUUGCAUAUUUGUACAUCACAAUCAAUAAAUAGAGAACAAUAUACAUUAGGUAUAUAGAAUGCAGCAUAUUUACUAAACAAUCAAAUUUACCUCACUGACAAAAAUGUAAAUUUAAUUUAUAAAUCCUGAUUCUCAUAAGAAGCAUUUGUGGACCAAAACUUUUGUUUCUGAUGCUACAUUUGUCAGGCCGUAUAGGCGAGUUUAGAGUUUUGGUCUAUUACCAAUAGAAAGAUGGUAAAAAUGUGGUAGAACAUGGUAUGCUGCUGGCACAAAGCAUUGACAAUUGUGAAAUAUGAAAUCAAAGCUAAAGGGUUGUUCAUGCUGAGAAAGAUAACGAUAAUGCUAAAGGCAAAAAAGAAGGCAAAAUCACUCUAGCCAAUAUGAGUGAUAACACAUAUCCACACAUUAACUGUAACAAUAACGACAUGAAGAACAAUAUCAUCCGGGAUCACUUUCAGAGUGAUUAUGAGAACGAUAAAAAUCUGACAGUCAAUCAGAAUAAUCCUUUAAAUUCUAGACAGCACAUUAAUCAACACAGAGAUAUAUAUAUAUAUAUAUAUAUAUAUAUAUAUAUAUAUUUAUCAAUGGCCAGUGUGGAGGCUCGUCCACAAAUAUCUUUAUAGUUAUUGUUCCUGGUGUGAACGGCCCUUAAUCUAGACUGAAAUGUGACAUGACAUGAGGUUUUAUUACAAAUGUCAUGGACUAAUGUUAAGACAGUCCAUGGAGUUUUUGGACAAGAGACAUUUAUCGCAACCAUUAUGAAAGUUAUAAAGACCAGUACAAGGACUAGAUCGUUUUGCUCCAAAAUGUCCAUCAGAAAAGUCUCUAAAACCUAAUUGUAUCACUGGAAUUGAUUUAUUCUGUAUGAGCUGUUUGGAAAUGCUUAUUGCAUGUAAAGCCCUUAUUCAGGUUACCCAAAUGAAUCUGAACUGAAUCCAAUAAAGUGCAGGUCAUGUGGAGGUGUGCCCUGUGAAUGUUGGUUGUGAUGGCAUGAAGUCAUGGGCACUCUUUAUACAUACUCUUGAUGUCCCUUUUAAAACAUUAUUACACUGUGUUCACUGUAAAGAUGUCAUGACAUUUGAAAAUGCUUUGGAAAAACAAUCUAUUAUUUCUGUAACGUCUAAUUUUGUGAUAGUUAAAUGUAUAAUGCUAAUUUUGAGGACAACUACAUGUUAUCAUAGUACUCAGGCAGGGAAACACACACACACACACACACAUAAACACACAUACUGCACUUGUUUUGUUUGAUGUUAUAAAGAUGUGUGUUGGUGUCAUUGCUUAGGCAUUUGUUUAAAGCUGCUAACAACUAACACAUUCAAUUAAAUCAGUAAUUGAGGGUGUAUGUGGCUUAUUUGUACUAAAACCAAGCACAGCACAGCCCAAUGUCAACAACAACAACAACAACAACAAAAUACAAAUUUACCUCUGACUUUUCUAAAAUGAAUAAAUGCAUGCCAAUUUCAUAGAUAACAAAAAUGUCUAAAGUAAAACAUUUGGCAUUAUACAACACAUAUCCUCACCCCCUUACCCAAACCCAACCCACCC